Long non-coding RNA from Folsomia candida, 1394 nucleotides. RefSeq lists it as uncharacterized. Lineage: Eukaryota; Metazoa; Arthropoda; Collembola; Entomobryomorpha; Isotomidae. The record is from RefSeq and is a predicted model, not a curated record. The transcript has 3 exons.
UCAUGUAUUCACAGCUGCUGGUCAUUUCCUACGUAAUUCUUUGGCAGAUAUUUCACACAAAUUUUGGCAAUAUUUAUAUCUGAAAUAUUUUAAUCAUCAUCUCAAAAUUGUCGUUUUAUUAUGUCAAUCGUAAUACUUGGACGUGUAAGGGGGGAAAAUAUUUCUGAUCCAGUGGAGCACGUACUAGAUUUAAAUUCCAAUUUAGAGAGACACCCAGACCAGUUGCGGUAGCACAUUUAAGCCAAAUGGCCGACAUUAUGUAAAUACAAUUUAUUUCGUAGCUCAUUCCAAAAUAUUUUAUUAAAAUGCGUUCCGCAAAUUUUGCAAUUUUAACAAUUCAUGCUCACAUCUUAGAAGCCUGAAAGGUCGGUUCACAACUUUUUAAUAUUGCGGGUUACUUAUUUUUGCGUAGGAAAAAGUCGUUUUUUACCGACGUAAACUACACAUUUUUCGCAAAUUCUUCAUCAAUUAGAAUUUUCGUUUCAUUUUCAAAUAGAUUUCCAUUUAAAAUUAUGUAGUCCCACAUUUCGCAACUUCACCUGUCGCGAACCACGCAGACAUACGACGCUUAAGACCAGCAUCCAGAGAUUGACGACUAUCUCGUCUAAGUGGAUCCAGGCCCACCCCCCUCCAAGUCUACUCGAGUCGCAUCUCCUACACUUUUCGCACCCGGAAUGCCACGUGUGGCUUCCUAAAACGCUUCCUCGCCGCCUUAACAACACUACCGUUCAUGUGCUACACCUUAAUCGCUUCUGUGGGCCAAAACCUGGGUGGGAUCCCGAUCAGAGGUCAACGCCGCCGAUUAUACGCCGCCGCGCCGCCAGACGCCGGUAGUGUUUUACGCGCCGCCGCCGCCGAUAAAUCUUAUUUCCUAUACCUACAACAUUGUGGCGCCGCGCCGCGCCGAAAAAUCCUCGAAAAUUGUCCCCGCCGCCGCCGACAAACUCGUCAGCGUUGACCUCUGAUCCCGAUGUACUGCGAGGGCGAAGGGGCCUCCAUCCUGACCCAAGUGGGCUUCACGAUUCCACUAGUUUUCCCCAUCCUCGUCACAAUUCAGGAAAAUUUGGCAUUGUAAACGUUCCGAACUACAUGAAACUGAGGAACCGUUUUUAACGAAAAAACGAGCAACAUAUUUCAUAGGGUGGCUCUAUUUUUGCAAAUUUGUCUGCUCUUAAUAACGCUCGUAUGGGGGUAGUCUCCCUGAUUAUGUUUCGUACCUUGUCCAACUUCUGGGUUUUUGAGGGGGCCGAAAAAAUAUUACAAAUGAUUACAAGAUUAUAAAAAGACUGCUUUACCACUUCGACAUACAUAUGUGCAUAAUAUACACGCACUUGUUGUUGAUGUAUUCAUGUCAUGGUUUACAAUAAAUGGAAUUUUUAUGUGGGUUAAGUUUA